AGUGGACGCUGGCGGUAGGCCUAACACAUGCAAGUCGAACGGCAGCACAGGAGAGCUUGCUCUCUGGGUGGCGAGUGGCGGACGGGUGAGGAAUACAUCGGAAUCUACUUUUUCGUGGGGGAUAACGUAGGGAAACUUACGCUAAUACCGCAUACGACCUACGGGUGAAAGCAGGGGACCUUCGGGCCUUGCGCGAUUGAAUGAGCCGAUGUCGGAUUAGCUAGUUGGCGGGGUAAAGGCCCACCAAGGCGACGAUCCGUAGCUGGUCUGAGAGGAUGAUCAGCCACACUGGAACUGAGACACGGUCCAGACUCCUACGGGAGGCAGCAGUGGGGAAUAUUGGACAAUGGGCGCAAGCCUGAUCCAGCCAUACCGCGUGGGUGAAGAAGGCCUUCGGGUUGUAAAGCCCUUCUGUUGGGAAGGAAAUCCAGCUGGCUAAUACCCGGUUGGGAUGACGGUACCCAAAGAAUAAGCACCGGCUAACUUCGUGCCAGCAGCCGCCGUAA
Molecule: ribosomal RNA, 506 nt
Filed under: uncultured bacterium
Lineage: Bacteria
Description: partial 16S ribosomal RNA
Rfam family: Bacterial small subunit ribosomal RNA
Source: RNAcentral